AUUGAACGCUGGCGGCAUGCUUUACACAUGCAAGUCGAGCGGUAACAGGCCGCAAGGUGCUGACGAGUGGCGAACGGGUGAGUAAUGCAUCGGAACGUGCCCAGUCGUGGGGGAUAACUACUCGAAAGAGUAGCUAAUACCGCAUACGAUCUAUGGAUGAAAGCGGGGGACCGUAAGGCCUCGCGCGAUUGGAGCGGCCGAUGUCAGAUUAGGUAGUUGGUGGGGUAAAGGCUCACCAAGCCAACGAUCUGUAGCUGGUCUGAGGGGACGACCAGCCACACUGGGACUGAGACACGGCCCAGACUCCUACGGGAGGCAGCAGUGGGGAAUUUUGGACAAUGGGCGCAAGCCUGAUCCAGCAAUGCCGCGUGCAGGAAGAAGGCCUUCGGGUUGUAAACUGCUUUUGUACGGAACGAAACGGCUCUGGUUAAUACCCGGGGCUAAUGACGGUACCGUAAGAAUAAGCACCGGCUAACUACGUG
Molecule: ribosomal RNA, 482 nt
Filed under: uncultured bacterium
Lineage: Bacteria
Description: partial 16S ribosomal RNA
Rfam family: Bacterial small subunit ribosomal RNA
Source: RNAcentral